Molecule: RNA transcript, 802 nt
Organism: Mus musculus (house mouse)
Lineage: Eukaryota; Metazoa; Chordata; Mammalia; Rodentia; Muridae
Gene: Klra14-ps
Gene name: killer cell lectin-like receptor subfamily A, member 14, pseudogene
Exons: 6
Source: RefSeq, marked validated
AUGAGUGAGCAGGAGGUCACUUUCCCAACUAUGAGAUUCCACAAGUCUUCAGGGUUGAACAGCCAGGUGAGACUUGAGGGGACUCAGAGAUCUAGAAAAGCUGGCCUAAGAGUGUGUUCAGUCCCUUGGCAGCUCAUUGUGAUAGCUCUUGGAAUCCUCUGUUCCUUUCGGCUGGUAAUUGUUGCAGGGUUUGUGGCAAACGUUUUUCAGUAUAGUCAACACAAACAAGAAAUCCAUGAAACUCUCAACCACCACCAUAACUGCAGCAACAUGCAAAGGGAUUUCAACUUAAAGGAAGAAAUGUCGACAAAUAAGUCUAUAGAUUGUAGGCCAAGCAAUGAACUUCUGGAAUACAUCAACAGAGAACAGGAGAGAUGGGACAGUGAAACCAAGAGUGUUUCAGAUUCUUCACGAGACACAGGCAGAGGUGUUAAAUACAGGUUCUGCUAUGGUACUAAAUGGUAUUAUUUCAUCAUGAACAAAACUACAUGGAGUGGAUGUAAAGCGAACUGCCAGCAUUACAGCUUACCCUUUGUGAAGAUAGAAGAUGAAGAUGAACUGAAAUUCCUUCAAUGCCAUGUUAUUCCAGAGAGUUACUGGAUUGGAUUGUCAUAUGAUAAGAAAAAAAAAGGAAUGGGUGUGGAUUGACAAUGGCCAAUCUAAACUUGACAUGAAAAUAAGGAAAAUGAACUUUAAGUCUAUAGGAUGUUUAUUUUUAUCUAAAGCAAGAAUAGAAGAUACUAACUGUAAUACUCCCUACUACUGUAUUUGUGGGAAGAAACUGGAUAAUUUCCCUGAUUAA